UACGUAGGGCGCAGGCGUUGUCCGGAAUUAUUGGGCGUAAAGAGCUCGUAGGCGGCUUGUCACGUCGAUUGUGAAAGCCCGAGGCUUAACCUCGGGUCUGCAGUCGAUACGGGCUAGCUAGAGUGUGGUAGGGGAGAUCGGAAUUCCUGGUGUAGCGGUGAAAUGCGCAGAUAUCAGGAGGAACACCGGUGGCGAAGGCGGAUCUCUGGGCCAUUACUGACGCUGAGGAGCGAAAGCGUGGGGAGCGAACAGG
This 253-nucleotide ribosomal RNA is filed under the name uncultured bacterium. RNAcentral describes it as "partial 16S ribosomal RNA". It matches the Rfam family "Bacterial small subunit ribosomal RNA", at positions 524 to 776 of the family's 1533-position model. The record is from RNAcentral.